CUAGGGGAUAAUUUCCGCAAUAGAGCGAAGUCCGACCGGAACUCCGCCGCUAGUGUAUCGAGGUUCGAUCGCUAAACUCUCUGUUGUUCCGGAGAACCACGUGACCAGAGGUUACUGCUGUACCCUGACCGGUAACUACCAGAAAAGGCACGGCUAACAUCGUGCAGCAGCCCGCGGUAUACGUAGGUGGCAAGCGUUUUCCGGAAUUAUUUGGCGUAAAGCGCGGCGCCAGGGCGGGUCCCUAAUCCGAAGUGGAAAGGCCCCCCGGUCCAACCGUGGGAGGGGUCAUUUGGAAACUUGGGGAACCUGAGUGUCAGAAGAGAGAAAAGCGGGAAUUCCCCCUGUGAGCGGUUGAAAUGCGUAGAGAAUGUGUGGGGGAACACCCAGUGGGGAAAGGGCGGCUUUUUUGGUUUUGUGUACUGACGGUGAGGGCGCGGGAAGCGUGGGGAAGAAAAACGGGAUAGAAUCCCUUGUUGAUCCAAGGCGUUAACGAUGGGAUGCCAAGUGUUAGGGGGUUUUCGCCCUUUAGUGCUGCCACCAACCCCAUAAACACUUCCCCUGGGGAGUUCGGUCGCCAGGCUGAAACUCAAAGGGAUUGGCGGGGGGCCGCCCCAGCGGUGGGGCCUGGUGUUUUAUUUGAAGCAACGCGGAGAACCUUUCCAGGUCUUGACAUUCUCUGACAACUCUAGAGAUAGAGCGUUUCCCCUCGGGGGGCAGGGUGACCGGUGGGGCAUGGUUGUUGUCCGCUCGUGUCCUGAGAUGUUGGGUUUAAUUCCGCCACGAGCGCCAACCCUGAUUUUAGUUGCCCGCAUUUAGUUGGGCCCUUUUAGGUGGCUGCCGGUGACCAACCGGAGGAAGGUGGGGAUGACGUCAAAUCAUCAUGCCCCUUAUGACCUGGGCUACACCCCUGCUACAAUGGAUGGUACAAAAGGCUGCAAGGCCCCGAGGUCAAACCAAUUCCAUAAAACCCUUUUCAGUUUGGAUUGUCGGCUGCCACUUGCCUUCCUGAAGCCGGAAUCGCUUGUAAUCGCGGAUCAACCAUGCCCCGUGAAUUCGUUUCCCGGCCUUGUACCCCCCCCCCCUCACCCCCCGAGAGUUUGUUACCCCCGAAGUCGGUGGGGGUACCUUUAUGGAGCCAGCCGCCUAAGUGACAGAUUUCG
RNAcentral lists this ribosomal RNA (1160 nucleotides) under Priestia flexa. RNAcentral describes it as "bacterial SSU rRNA". It matches the Rfam family "Bacterial small subunit ribosomal RNA", at positions 352 to 1477 of the family's 1533-position model. Lineage: Bacteria; Bacillati; Bacillota; Bacilli; Caryophanales; Bacillaceae. The record is from RNAcentral.